Molecule: ribosomal RNA, 485 nt
Filed under: Cronobacter dublinensis
Lineage: Bacteria; Pseudomonadati; Pseudomonadota; Gammaproteobacteria; Enterobacterales; Enterobacteriaceae
Description: bacterial SSU rRNA
Rfam family: Bacterial small subunit ribosomal RNA
Source: RNAcentral
AUUGAACGCUGGCGGCAGGCCUAACACAUGCAAGUCGRGCGGUAGCACAGGGAGCUUGCUCCCGGGUGACGAGCGGCGGACGGGUGAGUAAUGUCUGGGAAACUGCCUGAUGGAGGGGGAUAACUACUGGAAACGGUAGCUAAUACCGCAUAACGUCUUCGGACCAAAGUGGGGGACCUUCGGGCCUCAUGCCAUCAGAUGUGCCCAGAUGGGAUUAGCUAGUAGGUGGGGUAAAGGCUCACCUAGGCGACGAUCCCUAGCUGGUCUGAGAGGAUGACCAGCCACACUGGAACUGAGACACGGUCCAGACUCCUACGGGAGGCAGCAGUGGGGAAUAUUGCACAAUGGGCGCAAGCCUGAUGCAGCCAUGCCGCGUGUAUGAAGAAGGCCUUCGGGUUGUAAAGUACUUUCAGCGAGGAGGAAGGUGUUGUGGUUAAUAACCACAGCMAUUGACGUUACUCGCAGAAGAAGCACCGGCUAACUCC